CAUUAAUUAACUCCUGAUCCUUUACCAAGGAAAUUGGCUUCCAAUAUAUCUCACAACACUUAUUUACUGCUGACUGAUAAGACUGCAGAACAAUGGAUUCAAUCAGCGCUACUCUGAUGUGAACAGAACUCUGAAGGAGGAAGAGCAGGAAGAGAAGGAGGAGGAGGAGGAGGACGGGGGACAGAUGCUCUAAAAAACAAGCCAGCAAAACACAGUGAAGACGGUGGAAAGAGGAUGUCAAAAAAAAAACUCUGAGGGUCAAUCC
This 265-nucleotide long non-coding RNA is filed under the name Astyanax mexicanus (Mexican tetra). RNAcentral describes it as "lncRNA (ENSAMXG00005023857.1)". The record is from RNAcentral. Lineage: Eukaryota; Metazoa; Chordata; Actinopteri; Characiformes; Acestrorhamphidae.